UGGGGAAUAUUGCACAAUGGGGGAAACCCUGAUGCAGCGACGCCGCGUGAAGGAUGAAGUAUUUCGGUAUGUAAACUUCUAUCAGCAGGGAAGAAAAUGACGGUACCUGACUAAGAAGCCCCGGCUAACUACGUGCCAGCAGCCGCGGUAAUACGUAGGGGGCAAGCGUUAUCCGGAUUUACUGGGUGUAAAGGGAGCGUAGACGGCUGUGCAAGUCUGAUGUGAAAACCCGGGGCUCAACCCCGGGACUGCAUUGGAAACUGUGCAGCUAGAGUGUCGGAGAGGUAAGUGGAAUUCCUAGUGUAGCGGUGAAAUGCGUAGAUAUUAGGAGGAACACCAGUGGCGAAGGCGGCUUACUGGACGAUGACUGACGUUGAGGCUCGAAAGCGUGGGGAGCAAACAGG
Molecule: ribosomal RNA, 404 nt
Filed under: uncultured prokaryote
Also listed under: 1 other name
Description: bacterial SSU rRNA
Rfam family: Bacterial small subunit ribosomal RNA
Source: RNAcentral